GGAUAAAGGAUUUAAGAUAACAAAGAACAGUGAAUGGAGAUGAUGCCACUUAGGAUUGAGGAUGAAUGUGGUGUCUUCAAUAUGUAACCUAUUAUAUAAUAGAUAGAUAUCUACAACACAACAACAACAACAAAAUAUGACGGUUUAUUAAUAAUACUUGAAUUUUUGUUUUUUCUUCAAAUUUUUGUUUUUUUUAAAUAUAUGACAUUUUUUUUUUGCAAAUUCUUAACGUUUUAAAACUUGGUAAAAAUAAUAUAACUAAUGACGAUUUUUUUAGUAACACUAGCAGAAAAAACGUACGUUGUACGUGUAAUUAAUGUUAUUUUAAUUGGUAAUCUAUUAUUUAAAAAAAAUCUAUUAAUUCAUUACUUUUAUUGGAUAAUUUAUUGGAUGGAUAUAUUUAUUUAUAAGCCUUAC
This 417-nucleotide long non-coding RNA is filed under the name Salvia miltiorrhiza (redroot sage). Its description in RNAcentral is "long non-coding RNA (SMIL_LNC008973)". The record is from RNAcentral. Lineage: Eukaryota; Viridiplantae; Streptophyta; Magnoliopsida; Lamiales; Lamiaceae.